RNAcentral lists this ribosomal RNA (909 nucleotides) under uncultured organism. RNAcentral's name for it is "bacterial SSU rRNA". It matches the Rfam family "Bacterial small subunit ribosomal RNA", at positions 8 to 889 of the family's 1533-position model. The record is from RNAcentral.
AGAGUUGAUCCUGGCUCAGAUUGAACGCUGGCGGCGUGCCUAACACAUGCAAGUCGUACGAGAACGCUUCAGCUUACUGAAGCUAGUAAAGUGGCGCACGGGUGAGUAACGCGUAGGUAAUUUGCCUCCAAGCCCGGAAUAACACCGCGAAAGUGGUGCUAAUACCGGAUAAUAUCCUGGAAUCUCCGGAUUUUGGGAUCAAAGGUGGCCUCUACAUGUAAGCUACUGCUUGGAGAAAAGCUUGCGUACCAUUAGCUUGUUGGUGAGGUAACGGCUCACCAAGGCUUUGAUGGUUAGCUGGUCUGAGAGGAUGAUCAGCCACACUGGAACUGAGACACGGUCCAGACUCCUACGGGAGGCAGCAGUGAGGAAUUUUGCGCAAUGGGGGAAACCCUGACGCAGCAACGCCGCGUGAGUGAAGAAGGCUUUUGAGUCGUAAAGCUCUGUCAAGUGGAAAGAAAUUGUCUAUCAAUAAUACUGAUAGGCAUUGACGGUACCACUAAAGGAAGCACCGGCUAACUCCGUGCCAGCAGCCGCGGUAAUACGGGGGGUGCUAGCGUUAAUCGGAAUUAUUGGGCGUAAAGGGCGCGCAGGCGGCCAUGUAAGUCAGAUGUGUAAGCCCGGGGCUCAACCCCGGAAGUACAUUUGAAACUAUAUGGCUUGAGUAUGGGAGAGGGAAGUGGAAUUCCUGGUGUAGCGGUGAAAUGCGUAGAUAUCAGGAGGAACACCGGUGGCGAAGGCGACUUCCUGGACCAAUACUGACGCUGAGGCGCGAAGGCGUGGGGAGCAAACCAGGAUUAGAUACCCUGGUAGUCCACGCAGUAAACGUUGAUCACUAGGUGUAGCGGGUUUUUACCCCUGCUGUGCCGAAGCUAACGCAUUAACUGAUCCGCUGGGGAGUACGAUCGC